ACGCUCGACACCUACGGGAGGAAGCAGUAGGGAAUAUUGCGCAAUGGGGGAAACCCUGACGCAGCAACGCCGCGUGGAGGAUGACACUUUUCGGAGCGUAAACUCCUUUUCUUAGGGAAGAAUUCUGACGGUACCUAAGGAAUAAGCACCGGCUAACUCCGUGCCAGUAGCCGCGGUAAUCUGAGCGGGCUGGCAAGGC
This 199-nucleotide ribosomal RNA is filed under the name uncultured bacterium. RNAcentral describes it as "partial 16S ribosomal RNA". It matches the Rfam family "Bacterial small subunit ribosomal RNA", at positions 328 to 539 of the family's 1533-position model. The record is from RNAcentral.